CCGGGGCCGGGGAUGGUGGCGGGGGCGGCCGGAGCGGGGCGGCGGCUCCGGGCAGAGCCCUGACGGAGCGAGCUCCACCAUGAGCGUGAGGCCUCCGCAGGCCCCGGACAGGUUGAGCAGCCUCUCCUCGUCCCUGGGCGAUUCCCCCUCGGAGCGAAGGUCCCCCGGCCACCACCGGCAGCCCUCGGACCCCUCCGAGACCACAGGGCUGGUGCAGCGCUGCGUCAUCAUCCAGCGGGACCAGCAUGGCUUCGGCUUCACCGUCAGCGGCGACCGCGUGGUGCUGGUGCAGUCCGUGCGCCCCGGUGGGGCUGCCAUGAGGGCCGGCGUGCAGGAGGGCGACCGCAUCCUCAAGGUGAACGGGACAAUGGUGACCAACAGCUCCCACCUGGAGGUGGUGAAGUUGAUCAAGUCUGGUGCCUACGUGGCCCUGACCCUGCUGGGGUCCCCGCCCGGCCCGGUGGGAAUUCCGGGAUCCCAGCAGGAGCCGGAGACCCCGGGCUGCCCCCAGGGCCCCCCCCAGCGCAUCACGGAGCCCCGGCCCCUGCAGGACCCCGAGGUGCAGAAGCACGCGGCGCAGAUCCUGCGGAACAUGCUGCGCCAGGAGGAGGCCGAGUUCCAGCGUUUCCAGGAGCUGCUGCAGCGGAAGCCGGGCGCGGGGCUGGAGGAGCAGCUGGAGGGGGCGCGGCGCCGGCUGAGCCAGCUGCAGCUCAAGGUGCUGCAGGAGGCGCGCGGGAAUGCCGCGGACCUGGGCUCCCGGCCCCUGGAGGGGUCCCCGCAGCUCCCGGGGCGCCGCCCCCGCGACCCCCAGGACGGGGACCCAGGGCUGGAGCCCGGCCCCGAGCGCGCCCCGGCCCCGGCGGAGGUCUCCCGGAAUUCCGGCUUUUCCGAGCCCUGCAGCCCCCGGAGCUCCCCCGUGCUCGGCUCCCGCCUCUCCACGGAUCCGGGAUCGGGGAGGCCCCAGAUCAUCGGGCCCGAGGAGGAUUGCGAGCCUGGGAGUGGCAGCAACGAGAGCGAUUCCGUCUUCCAGGAUUUGGGAAUUCUCAAAUCCCGCCCGGCCCACUUGGGAGUGUUCCUGAGGUUCCUCUUCUCCCAGGCCGAUCCCACUCCUCUGCUGUUCCACCUGUGCUCCGAGGUUUGCUGCCAGCAGAGCCCCCGGGAGAGCCGGGCCCUGGGCAGGGACAUCUGGAACAUCUUCCUGGACAGGGCGGCGCCCCUGCGGGUGAAGGUGCCGGAGCAGCUCCUGGCUGAGAUCGAGCUGCGGCUGCGGGGCGGGGAGGAGCUGCGGCCGGCGCUGCUGGAGGCGCAGGACUCGGUGAUCCCGGAGAUCCAGGAGCAGCUCCAGGACUACAGGACGAAGCGCACGCUGGGGCUGGGCAGCCUCUACGGGGAGAACGAGCUGCAGGAGCUGGAGCUCGGGAAUUGCGCCCGGGAGCCGCGGGAAUGCCGGGAGAGGGAGCGGGCGCUGGCCGAGAGGCAGCUGGGACACCUGGGGGACAUCCUCUCCAAGUACGAGGAGGAGCGGAGCUCCCCCAUGGCCUUCGCCCUCAGCACCUUCAUGGCCCACGCCGGGAUCCGGCCCCGGGAGCCCCGGGAAUGCCGGGAAUCCCGGGAAUGCCGCGGCCCCGAGAAGCUCCCGGACAAGGACAAGUGGCUGCCCUUCUUCCCCAAGGCCAAAAAGAGCAGCAGCUCCAGGAAGGAGAAGGAGCAGAGGCAGAACCCGAUCCUGAAAUACAUCGGGAAGCCCCGGAGCUCCUCCCAGAGCACAUUUCAUGUCCCCCUGUCCCCCGCGGAAGCAGUGAAGCCGGGGAACGUGCGGACCAUGAUCCAGCACUUUGAGAACAGCCACGGGGAGCCCCCGGAGCCGGGAGCGCAGCGCCUCUCCACCGGCAGCAUUCCCGAGGAGCUGCUGGACCCCGACAGCAGCUCGCGGGCCGAGGUGCGCCUGGGCCGCUCGGAGUCGCUGAAGGGGCGGGAGGAGCUGCGGCGCUCGCGGCGCUCGGAGCCGGUGCCGCGCUCCCGCAGCGACGUGGACAUGGACACGGGCAGCGAGACCCCCCGGCUGCACUCGGCCUCCUCCUCCGCCUCCAGCCUCUCCAACAGAUCCCUGGAAAACCCCACCCCCCCCUACACGCCAAAGAUGGGGCGCAGGAGCAUGGAUUCUCCCAGCCUGGGCUUCGGGGCCGACCCCUUCCUGCCUCACCUGCUGGAGGACGAGCAGGGCCCGGUGCCCGACCUGGAGCCGGAUCCCGACUCCCAUCCCGGCCCGAGCCCCCAGCCCGGCUCGCAGGGCUGGCAGCAGAGCCCCCCGGGCUGGCAGCAGAGCGCCCAGAGCUGGCAGCACUCGGUCAGCCGGGAGCUGCUGGCCAGCCUGUCCCAGCGGGAGGUGGAUCGCCAGGAGGUCAUCAACGAGCUGUUUGUCACCGAGCUGUCCCACCUGCGCAUCCUGCGCGUUCUGGAUUUGCUUUUCUUCCAACGCCUGCGCCGGGAGCAGCUCCUGAGCCGGGAGGAGCUGGGGCUGCUCUUCCCCAACCUGCCCGACCUCAUCGACGUGCACAGUUCCCUCUGGGACUCCAUGCGGAGGCUGCGGGAGGAGCAGGGUCCCAUCGUGGGCGAGAUCGGCGACCUCAUGCUGGCCCGGUUCGAGGGCGCUGCCAAGGAGGAAUUCCAGCGCGUGGCCGCCGCCUUCUGCUCCUCGCAGUCGAUCGCGCUGGAGCUGAUCCGCACCAAGCAGCGCAAGGAGAGCCGCUUCCAGCUCUUCAUGCAGGAGGCCGAGAGCAACCCGCAGUGCCGGCGGCUGCAGCUGAAGGACCUGCUGAUCGCCGAGAUGCAGCGCCUGACCAAGUACCCGCUGCUGCUGGAGAACGUCAUCAAGUGCACCCCGGGGGGCUCAGCAGAGCAGCAGAAGCUGCUCCGUGCCCGGGAGCAGAGCCGGGACGUGCUGCGGGCGGUGAACGAGGCCGUGCGCCGCGCCGAGAACCGGCAGCGCCUGCAGGAGCACCAGCGGCGCCUGGACACCUCGGCGCUGGAGAGGACCAGCAACCCCCUGGCCGCGGAAUUCCGGAACCUGGACCUGACCUCGCACCGGAUGAUCCACGAGGGACCCCUGGCCUGGAGAGUGGGCAAGGACAAGAGCGUGGAGCUGCACGUGCUGCUGCUGGAGGAGCUGCUGGUGCUGCUGCAGCGGCAGGACGAGCGCUGGCUGCUCAAGUGCCACAGCAAGGGCGGCCUGGGGGGCACCCCCGACACCAAGCAGAGCUUCAGCCCCGUGCUCAAGCUCAGCUCGCUGCUGGUGCGCUCCGUGGCCACAGACAAGCGCGCCCUGUUCAUCAUCUGCACCUCGGAGCUGGGCCCCCAAAUCUACGAGCUGGUGGCACUGACGUCCUCGGAGAAGAACACGUGGAUGCAGCUGCUGGAGCAGGCGGUGCAGGGGGCCACCAGGAGCCUCCCGGGGCCACCGAAACACGGCCAGGGCGAGGGCAGCGGGAACGGAGCCUCCAGCCUGCUGCUGCCGGACCCCGCCGUGUCCCCGGAGCUGGCCCGAGACACCGAGCCCGAGGAUUGUUCCUCAGGGCCCGGCCCCUGCAGGAGCUGCUGGAGGAGCCGCGGGGGGCCGGGGCUGGGGACCCCGACCCCGACCUGGGGGACCCCGACCCCGACCUGGGGGACCCCGACCCCGACCCCGACCCGGGGACCCCGACCCCGUCCUGGGAAUCCCCAAAUCCCCGGGGAGCGCCGGCGUGGCCGAGGCAGCGCUGGAGGACGUGGAGACCCUGCGGCUCCUGAUUGUCCGGAGGCUCCGGCCGGGCCGGGACCCCCAGGCCGAGGACGGAGAGACCCCCAGGGCCGGAGCCCCCGGCGACCCCCGGGGGAACGGCCCGGAAUUCCCAACCUCCAGCCCGGAAUUCCCAACGUCCGGCCCGGAAUUCCCAAAGUCCAACCGGGAAUGCCCAACGUCCAACCGGGAAUUCCCAACAUCCAACCGGGAAUUCCCAGUGUCCGGCCCGGAAUUCCCAGUGUCCAGCCAGGAAUUCCCAGUGUCCGGCCCGGAAUUCCCAGUGUCCAGCCAGGACACGGCCACGUCCGGCUGGGAUUCCGGGAUGUCCAGCUGGGAGUUCCCAGGGUCCGGCCAGGAUUCCGGGAUGUCCGGCCGGGAAUUCCCGGGGUCCGGCCAGGAGGGGCCGGAGGGGGCGGAGCCCAACGGGAUCCGAAUCAACCGGAAAGGGUGUUCAUUUGGGGUUCUGAUUUUGGGAUUUUGAUUUGGGGGUUCUGAUUCUGGGUUCUGAUUCUGGGUUCUGAUUUUGGGUUCUGAUUUUGGGUUCUGGGUUCUGAUUUGGGUCUUGGCUCUGGCUGCCGAUUUUGGGUCCCAGCUUUGGGUGCUGGGUGCUGAUUAAUUUAGGGUGCUAAUUAAUUUAGGGUGCUAAUUAAUUUUGGGUGCUGAUUUGGGGUUCUGGGUGCUGAUGAACUUUGGGUGCUGAUUUGGGGUGCUAAUUGGGGGUGCUAAUGAGCUGAUUGGGGUGCUAAUGAUCUAAUUGGGGUGCUAAUGAGCUAAUUGGGGUGCUGAUUAACUAAUCGGGGUGCUAAUGAGCUGAUUGGGGUGCUGAUUAACUAAUCGGGGUGCUAAUGAGCUGAUUGGGGUGCUAAUUACCGCAUUCCGGUGGCGGGGCCGCUCCCCCCUUCCCCUCCCCCCCCUUUUUUGGGGGGCCCAGCCCAGGAGGAGGGGCCGGAGGAGGCCACGCCCCCGAGCGGCUGCAGCCAAUCAGAGCCCGAGCUGCGGGAAGGAGGCGGAGCCAGUGCCGAGGGGAAUUUCUUCUACCUGAGCCUCCCCACGGAGCCGCCCCGGCCGGG
Serinus canaria (Common canary) is the source of this 4848-nucleotide RNA transcript. It is a transcript of the gene named Rho guanine nucleotide exchange factor 11, with no coding region annotated. NCBI's taxonomy places the organism in Eukaryota, Metazoa, Chordata, Aves, Passeriformes, Fringillidae. The transcript is spliced from 38 exons. The record is from RefSeq and is a predicted model, not a curated record.